AGACAGAGGUGGCGAGCGUUGUUCGGAGUUACUGGGCGUAAAGCGCACGUAGGCGGUUGGGUUAGUCCUAUGUAAAAUCCCCCUGCUUAACAGGGGAACGCCGUAGGUGACUGCCCGGCUAGAGGACGGGAGAGGAGAGCGGAAUUCCCGGUGGAGCGGUGAAAUGCGUAGAUAUCGGGAGGAAGGCCGGUGGCGAAGGCAGCCAACUGGCCUGGUACUGACACUCAGGGACGAAAGCGUGGGGAGCAAACCGGAGUAGAAACCCCGGUAGUCC
This 274-nucleotide ribosomal RNA is filed under the name uncultured bacterium. RNAcentral's name for it is "partial 16S ribosomal RNA". It matches the Rfam family "Bacterial small subunit ribosomal RNA", at positions 523 to 796 of the family's 1533-position model. The record is from RNAcentral.